RNAcentral lists this ribosomal RNA (505 nucleotides) under Cervidellus vexilliger. RNAcentral describes it as "SSU rRNA". It matches the Rfam family "Eukaryotic small subunit ribosomal RNA", at positions 88 to 590 of the family's 1831-position model. Lineage: Eukaryota; Metazoa; Nematoda; Chromadorea; Rhabditida; Cephalobidae. The record is from RNAcentral.
CGCGAGUGGCUCAUUAUAACAGCUAUAAUUUACUUGAUCUUGACACAAUCCUACUUGGAUAACUGUGGUAAUUCUAGAGCUAAUACAUGCAUUAAAGCUCUGACCUCACGGGAAGAGUGCAUUUAUUAGAACAAAACCAAGCGGCUUCGGCUGUUUCUGGUUGACUCAUAGUAACUGAGCUGAUCGCACGGUCUUGCACCGGCGACGUGUCUUUCAAGUAUCUGCCGUAUCAACUUUCGAUGGUAGUGUAUCUGACUACCAUGGUGAUCACGCGUAACGGAGAAUAAGGGUUCGGCUCCGGAGAGUUCGCCUGAGAAAUCGCGAACACAUCUAAGGAAGGCAGCAGGCGCGAAAAUUACCCACUCUCAGCACGAGGAGGUAGUGACGAAAAAUAACGAGACCGUUCUCUUAUGAGGCCGGUCAUCGGAAUGGGUACAAUUUAAACCCUUUAACGAGUAUCUAUGAGAGGGCAAGUCUGGUGCCAGCAGCCGCGGUAAUUCCAGCU